GAUGAACGCUGGCGGCGUGCCUAAUACAUGCAAGUCGAGCGAACGGACGAGAAGCUUGCUUCUCUGAUGUUAGCGGCGGACGGGUGAGUAACACGUGGAUAACCUACCUAUAAGACUGGGAUAACUUCGGGAAACCGGAGCUAAUACCGGAUAAUAUUUUGAACCGCAUGGUUCAAAAGUGAAAGACGGUCUUGCUGUCACUUAUAGAUGGAUCCGCGCUGCAUUAGCUAGUUGGUAAGGUAACGGCUUACCAAGGCAACGAUGCAUAGCCGACCUGAGAGGGUGAUCGGCCACACUGGAACUGAGCCACGGUCCAGACUCCUACGGGAGGCAGCAGUAGGGAAUCUUCCGCAGUGGGCGAAAGCCUGACGGAGCAACGCCGCGUGAGUGUUGAAGGUCUUCGGAUCGUAAAACUCUGUUAUUAGGGAAGAACAUAUGUGUAAGUAACUGUGCACAUCUUGACGGUACCUAAUCAGAAAGCCACGGCUAACUACGUG
This 497-nucleotide ribosomal RNA is filed under the name uncultured bacterium. RNAcentral's name for it is "partial 16S ribosomal RNA". It matches the Rfam family "Bacterial small subunit ribosomal RNA", at positions 28 to 507 of the family's 1533-position model. The record is from RNAcentral.